CUGUGUAAGUCACUCUCCCACUUGGUCUCUCUACUCCUCUUGAGGGAUGCAGAGCUCGAGCAGCAACUCCCCUGCAUUAAAAAAAUUAAAAUAAGACAUUA
Molecule: long non-coding RNA, 101 nt
Organism: Ipomoea nil (Japanese morning glory)
Lineage: Eukaryota; Viridiplantae; Streptophyta; Magnoliopsida; Solanales; Convolvulaceae
Exons: 5
Source: RefSeq, a predicted model, not a curated record